This 312-nucleotide ribosomal RNA is filed under the name Campylobacter coli. Its description in RNAcentral is "partial 23S ribosomal RNA". It matches the Rfam family "Bacterial large subunit ribosomal RNA", at positions 1 to 332 of the family's 2925-position model. Lineage: Bacteria; Pseudomonadati; Campylobacterota; Epsilonproteobacteria; Campylobacterales; Campylobacteraceae. The record is from RNAcentral. RNAcentral also lists the same sequence under 2 other names.
AAAGGUAAGCUACUAAGAGCGAAUGGUGGAUGCCUUGACUGGUAAAGGCGAUGAAGGACGUACUAGACUGCGAUAAGCUACGGGGAGCUGUCAAGAAGCUUUGAUCCGUAGAUUUCCGAAUGGGGCAACCCAAUGUAUAGAGAUAUACAUUACCUAUAUAGGAGCGAACGAGGGGAAUUGAAACAUCUUAGUACCCUCAGGAAAAGAAAUCAAUAGAGAUUGCGUCAGUAGCGGCGAGCGAAAGCGCAAGAGGGCAAACCCAGUGCUUGCACUGGGGGUUGUAGGACUGCAAUGUGCAAGAGGUAAGUUUAG